This 336-nucleotide ribosomal RNA is filed under the name uncultured Porphyrobacter sp. Its description in RNAcentral is "bacterial SSU rRNA". It matches the Rfam family "Bacterial small subunit ribosomal RNA", at positions 1044 to 1382 of the family's 1533-position model. Lineage: Bacteria; Pseudomonadati; Pseudomonadota; Alphaproteobacteria; Sphingomonadales; Erythrobacteraceae. The record is from RNAcentral.
CAUGGCCGUCGUCAGUUCGUACUGUGAAGCAUCCUGUUAAGUCAGGCAACGAGCGAGACCCACGCCCUUAGUUGCCAUCAUUAAGUUGGGCACUUUAAGGAAACUGCCGGUGAUAAGCCGGAGGAAGGUGGGGAUGACGUCAAGUCCUCAUGGCCCUUACAGGCUGGGCUACACACGUGCUACAAUGGCAUCUACAGUGGGCAGCUAUUCCGCAAGGAUGCGCUAAUCUCCAAAAGAUGUCUCAGUUCGGAUUGUCCUCUGCAACUCGAGGGCAUGAAGGCGGAAUCGCUAGUAAUCGCGGAUCAGCAUGCCGCGGUGAAUACGUUCCCAGGCCUU